Contarinia nasturtii (swede midge) is the source of this 3295-nucleotide long non-coding RNA. RefSeq lists it as uncharacterized. The record is from RefSeq and is a predicted model, not a curated record. NCBI's taxonomy places the organism in Eukaryota, Metazoa, Arthropoda, Insecta, Diptera, Cecidomyiidae. The transcript has 2 exons.
CCGUCAUUAGGUGUAAAAAAUAGAAAUGUUAUCCAAAGCGAGUCGACCUUUGUGUGUUUGUAUAUAUUGGUAUAGGCGUAUGAAAUCACACUAGCCGCUGAGUAAUUGAAUUAUAAUAUUUAUUUUAUUACAUAAUUCGUCACGAUAUAAAUUUUUUUUAUCUUUUUUGUUCACAUGCACAUUCUCUUUUUAUAUUUCUAAAUAAAUAAAUAUCGUACAAAAUGUAUAAUUAAUAAUCAAUAUAUAACUUGCUUAACAGCAGAUUUCGAUAGGGACAACUAAUGACAUUUUGUGAUUUGACAGCUCGGCCACGGUUUGGCCUCCCUAAAAAAAUAUAUGAGAACCUGGCGUGAAAGAGAUGGCGCUUCUUAAAUCGAGUCGCGUUGAAAGCCGUCUAUGAGUGAUACUCGGGUCACCCGAGUCGGGUGAAAGUAUUGAUAUGGGUUAGAAUAUUUUUUUGUUUUCUGUUUUCAUUUCAAAACGAAUAUUUUGUAUUAAAUCCCCAUAAUUUCUCUAAAUAGAGUUAUCCACCACCAUCACCAUCGCAUAUCUAUCAUAGGUCUUUUUAAAUUAAGAAACUACCGCCGAAAUCAUGAGUCAAAAAAUGAUGAACCAAAAGUAAUUGGUGAAAUAUAGAAUUAUUGCUUAUUUUUCUUUCUAUCGACACAGUUUGUGCUGCCGCUACACGACGAUGACGACGACAAACGACAAUAAUCGGCCAUGUCGGCAGUAUCAUCGAACAGUACGCGCACGCACUUGUGUUGGUGUGUGUGUGUACAUUUUAGCUGAGACAAUCAUUUGAUAAAUUGUAUAUGUUAUGUGUGGAGCUUAUAAGAUUACCAUUGGUCAUUAGUAGACUUGGAUCAUGGGUUUGUGGCUUGCGUGCUCCCUCGCACUAUUUGUAUGAAAAAAUAUUUUAAAUAGUUCGAAAAAGACUUACCAUUAACAGUUAUAAAUUGCGGUUUUGAUUCAGCAAUUUCAGCUGCAUCUUGAGUUUGUACAAAUGCAACCUGAGCGGUUAUUUGUUGUGAAUUGGAAUUAUUUGGCGACGAAGCAAUUGAAUUAGUAGGUAAAAUGGUAGAUACGGUAAUUGGUGCCUCAUCUGGAGAAUCCAUCUGAUCAAUUGGUACGACGUCAAUAAUUGAAACACCGUCAGAAGUAGUUCCCGCUUGAAGGAUGUAUUUCUUCUGUGGAUAAAUACAAAGGGGAUUGCUUUCAGAUUAUAAAAUCAUAUAAAUAACAACAAAUUCAGCUUACCUGUGUAUGAGUCUGCAUAAUAUGAAUUGGAGUGUUAGUUGUUUCAGAUACUUGAUUGUCAGUGAUGGUAACAAUUUCACCAUUAGUUGCUGAGGUGGCUAUCGUGGUUGUUGAAUGAUUAGACUGUGUGGUUUUUGAUGAAAUCUGACUGCUUGGAGUAAUUGUAACGAAGUUUCGUUGCAACGCCAAUUGAGUUGCCAUAUCUCCAAAUUUUCUUUUGUAUCGAAUGAGUUCGAGAAAUUUUCUAUUGGUAUAUGAGUCCGUGUUCCUAUUUUUUCACAAUAAAUAGCGAAGGCUUUUUGUUUGAUGUAAUAUGAGGGACGAUCAAACUUGAAUUCCGCAAAAAUUCUAUUCUGAAAAGUCUAAAAAGCAAUAAAUAAUUCAAACUACCAAUAUACAUUUAACUUGAAAAUUCACCACAACGUAUGUAUGUAAUGAAGUGCGAACAUAUGAAAAACAGAAUAGAAGCGUUGUUUCUAUGGUAUCCAAUUUGCCAUUGCCACGGUAACAGUAUACUUCACUUAUUUUAAUAUGUUAUUCGAGUAUAUAUUUGGACCUUACUUGCAAAACAUUGAACUUUUAUUAAAAAUUGAGAGUUAUUUUAUCAUGAUUAUAUUAGAUUAACAAUUGUACACAUAGAAGUUACAACUAAACAACAGAAACUUCACUGUGAAAAUGAAUAGAAACUGUUUUAUACUUUGCCGGUUACGUACAACGCUCAAUCGUAUGGCGGAAACAGUAAAAGUAACUGCUAUUUAUCUAACUGCAUUUUACAGAAUAAAUAAAAAAGGACAAUAAUAAUUAUAUGCGGCCAAGAAAUGAACACAUGCAGGAGGGGACAUUAUCGAUCAAAUAUUUUCUUUUUUGUUAUUUUAUAUUUGUUCCGAUAUAUUUAAAUGGUAGAUUCGUUCUUCACUAUAAAACCCAAACUUGAAAAUACAAUAGAAAUAGGUUGGAUAUAAAUUACAGUGCCCGUCAAAAUUUUGGAACCACCUAGGUGAACUCAAAGACUUUCCAUUUAAAAACCAGGGAAUAUUUUUCGCUGAAUAUUAUUUAUUUUGUUCUUCAUAAGUUAUUGAAACAACAUGCCAAAAAUUAUUGAUUUCUGAGAAUAAAACCCCAAAAAACGGCAUUUUACGGCAUUUUUUAUAAAAUAACUUGGGGGUUCAAAACUUUUGACGGGAACUGUACGUUUUUUGAUGUAGUCUUUGGAAAUACCAAUAUUAUAUUAAAUUUAUCAAAACUUGACAUUAAGAAAUUUAUCCAAUAUGGGGUUUUAUCCAAAAAAGUUGAGGCACUUGGUUAUAUGCACACUUUGAAAAAAAGAAUCUAACAUUGACCACAUGCUACUAUGCAUAGUAUGAUUAAAGACAUGUGUGCUUUAUUUUUACUUUUCGUGUUAUAAUUGUUUGGAACAUUUUUCUAUCAAUUUUCGAAACACAAUAUGAGGGAGUAUUUACAAAUCAGUGAAGCGAAACGGCAAGCUGUUUCAUUACAGUGCCAGCGUAAAUGUCGUCGAGUAUAUUACAUUGAGGUGUAAUAUUGGUUCAUACAUCGCACUAACAGCGUUUUGAACACCUGGAUACCAGCCACUUUGAACUCAUUCAUAAGUUUGAAUUCGGUAAUAUCUCUAGGGAAAAGGAAGGGAGAAAUCACGUGACACUCGGAAAGAUUAUAUUAUGUUUUCUUUGAAUCAAGUAUCUAUGAUGAACCAUUUCAAAAAAUGUUGAAGUUCCAUUUCACUUUUAUAUGGAUCGUUAUUUUUUGAGGAAAAGUAGUUAAAUAAGUAUACUGCAAUUAUUUACUUUGAAUCAAGUUUGAUUUAAAAACUUCAACGCAAGCGAAUUUUAUUUCCAUGGAAGUCUAAUUAUAGCUUUAAAAUGAUGUAGAUAUUUUCAAUUAGAAUCUAGAUAUUUAAAUUUUAAAAAAUAACAUCUAAUAACCUUUAUAAGGUGGUAAACAUUUGAAAAAUCUCCGAAAUGAACCUUUUUUCAAUUACGAUAGCACAAUAAAAUUAGUUUUUGAAUUCACUUAUCAA